Molecule: ribosomal RNA, 1242 nt
Filed under: metagenome
Description: bacterial LSU rRNA
Rfam family: Bacterial large subunit ribosomal RNA
Source: RNAcentral
UGAGUACGAGACGCUAAGGCGUCGAAGUAGUGGAUGUCAUACUUCCAAGAAAAGCUUGCACUGUCAUAGAUAAAAAACGCCUGUACCAUAACCGACACAGGUGGGUAGGUAGAGUAUACUAAGGGGCGCGAGAUAACUCUCUCUAAGGAACUCGGCAAAAUAACUCCGUAACUUCGGGAGAAGGAGUGCCUUAUUCGUAAGGCUGCAAUAACAAGAUCCAAGCAACUGUUUAUCAAAAACACAGGUCUCCGCUAAGUCGUAAGACGAUGUAUGGGGGCUGACGCCUGCCCAGUGCCAGAAGGUUAAAGAAGUCGGUUAGCAUUAGCGAAGCUGGUAACUGAAGCCCUGGUGAACGGCGGCCGUAACAAUAACGGUCCUAAGGUAGCGAAAUUCCUUGUCGGGUAAGUUCCGACCCGCACGAAAGGCGUAAUGAUUUGGAUACUGUCUCGGAGAGGGGUUCGGUGAAAUAGACUUGUCUGUGAAGAUGCGGACUACCUGCACCAGGACAGAAAGACCCUAUGAAGCUUUACUGUAACUUGAAAUUGAAAUUGGACUUUAUUCGCGCAGUAUAGGUGGGAGGUGUUGAUUAUAAUCUUGCGGGAUUAUUGGAGCCAUCAGUGAGAUACCACUCUUGUAAUGUUAGAUUUCUAACUUUGAAUCAUUAUCUGGUCAAAGAACAGUUUCAGGCGGGCAGUUUGACUGGGGCGGUCGCCUCCUAAAUGGUAACGGAGGCGUACAAAGGUUUCCUCUGAACGGGUAGAAAUCGUAUCUAGAGUGUAAAGGCAUAAGGAAGCUUGACUGUGAGACCUACAAGUCGAGCAGGGACGAAAGUCGGUCUUAGUGAUCUGACGGUACUGAGUGGAAAGGCCGUCACUCAACGGACAAAAGUUACUCUAAGGAUAACAGGCUGAUCUCCCCCAAGAGUUCACAUCAACGGGGAGGUUUGGCACCUCGAUGUCGGCUCAUCGCAUCCUGGGGCGGUAGUACGUCCCAAGGGUUGGGCUGUUCGCCCAUGAAAGCGGUACGCGAGCUGGGUUCAGAACGUCGUGAGACAGUUCGGUCCAUAUCCGGUGUAGGCGUUAGAAUAUUGAGAGGAGCCUUCUUUAGUACGAGAGGACCGAGAAGGACAUACCUCUGGUGUACCAGUUAUCGUGCCAACGGUAAACGCUGGGUAGCUAUGUAUGGAGUGGAUAACCGCUGAAAGCAUCUAAGUGGGAAGCCCACCUCAAGAUAAGUAUUCUC